RNAcentral lists this long non-coding RNA (428 nucleotides) under Mytilus galloprovincialis (Mediterranean mussel). The record is from RNAcentral. Lineage: Eukaryota; Metazoa; Mollusca; Bivalvia; Mytilida; Mytilidae.
GAGGGUUUUACGUUUAUAAGUCCUUAAAUUCUUUAUUGAAAAGAACUUUACGCCCAUAUGAGCCAAUGGCUUAAAACAUUAUACAUAAUAUACAGUUUACAUAUAUAAAACAAUGAAAAAGACAACGACCCACAAUACAUAAAAUGGAUAUAAUUUUGUGUUUCCAUUUUGUAAAUGUUUUACCGAGCGAGUACUCUUCACCGAGGUAACAUCCCUUCAUGUUAUUAUAUAUUUUUUUCCAUUGUAUUUAAGAAAACAAUAAAUAGAUUUCAUUUGUCUCCCUUUUUUGUUGUUGUAGAGAAUCAGUUUCAAAAUAUAGUUAUCUCCCAUCUUAAAUUUAGCCUGUUAGUCAAAGGGAGACAACUUUAAUUUUCCACAAAAAUUACGGAAUUCCAUAAUAUUAUGGAGUUCGCUAAGUGCCCCGACUG